AAAGAAUUUACAUAACUCAACACUCAAAAGUUAAGUAAUCCAAUUAAAAAAUGGGCAGAAGACAUGAACAGACAUUUUUCCAAAGAGAACAUAGG
Long non-coding RNA from Mustela erminea (ermine), 95 nucleotides. RefSeq lists it as uncharacterized. The record is from RefSeq and is a predicted model, not a curated record. Lineage: Eukaryota; Metazoa; Chordata; Mammalia; Carnivora; Mustelidae. The transcript is spliced from 3 exons.